GGAGGGAUGGCCGAGUGGUCUAAGGCGGCGGUCUUGAAAACCGCUGAGCGUAAGCUCCGUGGGUUCGAAUCCUACUCCCUCCGCCA
Molecule: transfer RNA, 86 nt
Filed under: Candidatus Eisenbacteria bacterium RBG_19FT_COMBO_70_11
Lineage: Bacteria; Candidatus Eiseniibacteriota
Description: tRNA-Ser
Rfam family: tRNA
About the family: Transfer RNA (tRNA) molecules are approximately 80 nucleotides in length. Their secondary structure includes four short double-helical elements and three loops (D, anti-codon, and T loops).
Source: RNAcentral